Molecule: ribosomal RNA, 1233 nt
Filed under: Paenibacillus larvae
Lineage: Bacteria; Bacillati; Bacillota; Bacilli; Caryophanales; Paenibacillaceae
Description: partial 16S ribosomal RNA
Rfam family: Bacterial small subunit ribosomal RNA
Source: RNAcentral
GCGGUCCUAUGCAUGCAAGUCGAGCGGACAGAAGGGAGCUUGCUCCCGGAUGUUAGCGGCGGACGGGUGAGUAACACGUGGGUAACCUGCCUGUAAGACUGGGAUAACUCCGGGAAACCGGAGCUAAUACCGGAUAGUUCCUUGAACCGCAUGGUUCAAGGAUGAAAGACGGUUUCGGCUGUCACUUACAGAUGGACCCGCGGCGCAUUAGCUAGUUGGUGGGGUAAUGGCUCACCAAGGCGACGAUGCGUAGCCGACCUGAGAGGGUGAUCGGCCACACUGGGACUGAGACACGGCCCAGACUCCUACGGGAGGCAGCAGUAGGGAAUCUUCCGCAAUGGACGAAAGUCUGACGGAGCAACGCCGCGUGAGUGAUGAAGGUUUUCGGAUCGUAAAGCUCUGUUGUUAGGGAAGAACAAGUGCGAGAGUAACUGCUCGCACCUUGACGGUACCUAACCAGAAAGCCACGGCUAACUACGUGCCAGCAGCCGCGGUAAUACGUAGGUGGCAAGCGUUGUCCGGAAUUAUUGGGCGUAAAGGGCUCGCAGGCGGUUUCUUAAGUCUGAUGUGAAAGCCCCCGGCUCAACCGGGGAGGGUCAUUGGAAACUGGGAAACUUGAGUGCAGAAGAGGAGAGUGGAAUUCCACGUGUAGCGGUGAAAUGCGUAGAGAUGUGGAGGAACACCAGUGGCGAAGGCGACUCUCUGGUCUGUAACUGACGCUGAGGAGCGAAAGCGUGGGGAGCGAACAGGAUUAGAUACCCUGGUAGUCCACGCCGUAAACGAUGAGUGCUAAGUGUUAGGGGGUUUCCGCCCCUUAGUGCUGCAGCUAACGCAUUAAGCACUCCGCCUGGGGAGUACGGUCGCAAGACUGAAACUCAAAGGAAUUGACGGGGGCCCGCACAAGCGGUGGAGCAUGUGGUUUAAUUCGAAGCACGCGAAGAACCUUACCAGGUCUUGACAUCCUCUGACAACCCUAGAGAUAGGGCUUUCCCUUCGGGGACAGAGUGACAGGGUGCAUGGUUGUCGUCAGCUCGUGUCGUGAGAUGUUGGGUUAAGUCCCGCAACGAGCGCAACCCUUGAUCUAGUUGCCAGCAUUUAGUGGGCACUCUAAGGUGACUGCCGGUGACAAACGAGAAGUGGGAUGACGUCAAUCAUCAUGCCCUUAUGACUGGCUAUCCACUGCUACAUGAAAGAACCAAGGGCUGCGAACCGCCAAGGUUUUAGCCAAAUUCA